This 447-nucleotide ribosomal RNA is filed under the name uncultured bacterium. Its description in RNAcentral is "bacterial SSU rRNA". It matches the Rfam family "Bacterial small subunit ribosomal RNA", at positions 330 to 794 of the family's 1533-position model. The record is from RNAcentral.
CCCAGACUCCUACGGGAGGCAGCAGUGGGGAAUAUUGCACAAUGGGGGAAACCCUGAUGCAGCGACGCCGCGUGAGUGAAGAAGUAUCUCGGUACGUAAAGCUCUAUCAGCAGGGAAGAAAAUGACGGUACCUGACUAAGAAGCCCCGGCUAACUACGUGCCAGCAGCCGCGGUAAUACGUAGGGGGCAAGCGUUAUCCGGAUUUACUGGGUGUAAAGGGAGCGUAGACGGCAGCACAAGUCUGGAGUGAAAUCCUGGGGCUUAACCCCGGAACUGCUUUGGAAACUGUGCGGCUGGAGUGCAGGAGGGGUAAGCGGAAUUCCUAGUGUAGCGGUGAAAUGCGUGGAUAUUAGGAGGAACACCGGUGGCGAAGGCGGCUUACUGGACUGUAACUGACGUUGAGGCUCGAAAGCGUGGGGAGCAAACAGGAUUAGAUACCCCCGUAUA